Molecule: ribosomal RNA, 497 nt
Filed under: uncultured bacterium
Lineage: Bacteria
Description: partial 16S ribosomal RNA
Rfam family: Bacterial small subunit ribosomal RNA
Source: RNAcentral
GACGAACGCUGGCGGCGUGCCUAAUACAUGCAAGUAGAACGCUGAAGAGAGGAGCUUGCUCUUCUUGGAUGAGUUGCGCACGGGUGAGUAACGCGUAGGUAACCUGCCUUGUAGCGGGGGAUAACUAUUGGAAACGAUAGCUAAUACCGCAUAACAAUGGAUGACACAUGUCAUUUAUUUGAAAGGGGCAAUUGCUCCACUACAAGAUGGACCUGCGUUGUAUUAGCUAGUAGGUGAGGUAACGGCUCACCUAGGCGACGAUACAUAGCCGACCUGAGAGGGUGAUCGGCCACACUGGGACUGAGACACGGCCCAGACUCCUACGGGAGGCAGCAGUAGGGAAUCGUCGGCAAUGGGUGCAACCCUGACCGAGCAACGCCGCGUGAGUGAAGAAGGUCUUCGGAUCGUAAAGCUCUGUUGUAAGUCAAGAACGAGUGUGAGAGUGGAAAGUUCACACUGUGACGGUAGCUUACCAGAAAGGGACGGCUAACUACGUG